CGCUUUAGCUCAGCUGGUAGAGCAUCGCAUUCGUAAUGCGGAGGUCGGGUGUUCAAGUC
Molecule: transfer RNA, 59 nt
Filed under: Asterionellopsis glacialis
Lineage: Eukaryota; Bacillariophyta; Plagiogrammaphyceae; Rhaphoneidales; Asterionellopsidaceae
Description: partial tRNA
Rfam family: tRNA
About the family: Transfer RNA (tRNA) molecules are approximately 80 nucleotides in length. Their secondary structure includes four short double-helical elements and three loops (D, anti-codon, and T loops). Further hydrogen bonds mediate the characteristic L-shaped molecular structure. tRNAs have two regions of fundamental functional importance: the anti-codon, which is responsible for specific mRNA codon recognition, and the 3' end, to which the tRNAs corresponding amino acid is attached (by aminoacyl-tRNA synthetases). tRNAs cope with the degeneracy of the genetic code in two manners: having more than one tRNA (with a specific anti-codon) for a particular amino acid; and 'wobble' base-pairing, i.e. permitting non-standard base-pairing at the 3rd anti-codon position.
Source: RNAcentral